UACGCAGGGAGCUAGCGUUGUUCGGAAUCACUGGGCGUAAAGCGCACGUAGGCGGGCUUGUAAGUCAGGGGUGAAAUCCCGGGGCUCAACCUCGGAACUGCCUCUGAUACUGCAAGUCUCGAGUCCGGAAGAGGUGCGUGGAAUUCCUAGUGUAGAGGUGAAAUUCGUAGAUAUUAGGAAGAACACCGGGGGAGAAGGAGGCCCACUGGUCCGGUACUGACGCCGAUGUGCGAAGGCAUGGGGAGAAAACAGG
Molecule: ribosomal RNA, 253 nt
Filed under: uncultured bacterium
Lineage: Bacteria
Description: partial 16S ribosomal RNA
Rfam family: Bacterial small subunit ribosomal RNA
Source: RNAcentral